This 253-nucleotide ribosomal RNA is filed under the name uncultured bacterium. Its description in RNAcentral is "partial 16S ribosomal RNA". It matches the Rfam family "Bacterial small subunit ribosomal RNA", at positions 524 to 776 of the family's 1533-position model. The record is from RNAcentral.
UACGGGGGGGGCAAGCGUUGUUCGGAAUUACUGGGCGUAAAGCGUGCGCAGGCGGUUCGUUGUGUCGGUGGUGAAAUCCCCGGGCUUAACCUGGGAAUGGCCAUGGAAACUGGCGAACUGGAGUGUGGCAGAGGGGGGUGGAAUUCCGCGUGUAGCAGUGAAAUGCGUAGAGAUGCGGAGGAACACCGAUGGCGAAGGCAGCCCCCUGGGCUAACACUGACGCUCAGGCACGAAAGCGUGGGGAGCAAACAGG